This 460-nucleotide ribosomal RNA is filed under the name uncultured bacterium. Its description in RNAcentral is "partial 16S ribosomal RNA". It matches the Rfam family "Bacterial small subunit ribosomal RNA", at positions 338 to 795 of the family's 1533-position model. The record is from RNAcentral.
CCUACGGUGCGCAGCAGUGAGGAAUAUUGGUCAAUGGACGAGAGUCUGAACCAGCCAAGUAGCGUGAAGGAUGACUGCCCUAUGGGUUGUAAACUUCUUUUAUAUGGGAAUAAAAUGUUCCACGUGUGGGAUGUUGUAUGUACCAUAUGAAUAAGGAUAGGCUAACUCCGUGCCAGCAGCCGCGGUAAUAAGGAGGAUCCGAGCGUUAUCCGGAUUUAUUGGGUUUAACGGGAGCGUAGGUGGAUUGUUAAGUCAGUUGUGAAAGUUUGCGGAUCAAACGUAAAAUUGCAGUUGAAACUGGCAGUCUUGAGUACAGUAGAGGUGGGCGGAAUUCGUGGUGUAGCGGUGAAAUGCUUAGAUAUCACGAAGAACUCCGAUUGCGAAGGCAGUUCACUGGACUGCAACUGACACUGAGGCUCGAAAGUGUGGGUAUCAAACAGGAUUAGAUACCCGUGUAGUC